UCACCGCUCACACUUUCUCGUCAUCUUUCUCUCGCGCUCUGAAUCUCUCAAACGAAUUUCACAAUGAUCCACAAACCCUAAUCCCAAACCAGCAAGAAGAUUCAGUAAUGGAAGAUGCAAACGAUUCCUUGUUCGAUUCUAUGCUUGUUGAUUCAAGUUCAAAACUCAUUCAAAAUGGCUUCGCCAGAUCUCAAAGUUCAGCAGAGGAGUGUGUAAUGUUUGUAAACGUGGGAGGGGAAGCGACUAAUGAAGGAGCUGAUGGAGUGAAGUUUCUGAGUGACACUUUUUUUGACGGUGGCGAUGUUUUCCUCACGAAUGAGGCGAUUGUGGAAGGUGGAGAUUACCCGUCGAUUUAUCAGUCAGCUCGGGUGGGAAGUUUUAGUUAUAGAAUUGAUAACCUUCCUCCUGGACAAUAUCUUGUUGACCUGCAUUUUGUUGAGAUUAUUAAUGUAAAUGGGCCGAAAGGAAUGAGGGUGUUCAAUGUUUACAUACAAGAAGAAAAGGUUCUAUCUGAAUUGGAUAUCUAUGCAGCUGUUGGAGUCAACAAGCCACUUCAGCUGAUUGAUUGUCGGGCCACUGUGAAGGAUGAUGGGGUGAUUCUCAUAAGAUUUGAGAGUUUAAAUGGAAGACCAGUUGUCAGUGGGAUCUGCAUUAGGAGAGCGUCAAAAGAGUCAGUUCCACCAGUGCCAAGCGAUUUCAUUGAAUGUAACUACUGUGCUGCGCAGAUUGAAAUUCCUUCAUCACAGAUAAAAGUUAUGCAGACAAAAUCUACAGCAAAGUAUGAAAAUAAGAUAAAGGAGCUUACUAUGCAGUGCGAGCUCAAGGCAAAAGAAUGCUAUGAGGCAUGGACGUCAUUAACUGAAAUGAGUAGGGAAGUGGAAAAAGUCCAGAUGGAGCUUGAUCAAGUGACAUUUAAGUCAUUCACUACAGAACUAACUGCCGAAAAACAAGCUGAGAACCUGAGGAGUAUUUCUAACAGAUAUGAACUUGAUAAGAAGAAAUGGGCAGAAGCAAUUAUCAGUUUACAGGAAAAAGUACAGUUGAUGAAGAGUGAGCAGUCUCGGCUUUCCUUCGAAGCACAUGAAUGUGUUGAUUCGAUCCCUGAAUUAAAUAAGAUGGUUUAUGCAGUACAGGAGUUGGUUAAGCAGUGUGAAGAUCUUAAAGUGAAGUAUUAUGAAGAGAUGACACAGAGAAAGAAGCUCUUCAAUGAAGUUCAAGAGGCUAAAGGAAACAUCAGAGUUUUUUGCCGUUGUCGACCAUUGAAUAAGGUUGAAAUGUCAUCUGGGUGUACAACAGUUGUGGAUUUUGAUGCAGCAAAAGAUGGAUGCCUUGGGAUUUUGGCAACUGGCUCCUCUAAAAAAUUAUUCAGAUUUGACAGGGUUUAUACACCAAAAGAUGAUCAAGUUGAUGUUUUUGCUGAUGCAUCAUCAAUGGUAAUCUCUGUGCUGGAUGGCUACAACGUUUGCAUCUUUGCGUAUGGACAAACAGGAACAGGAAAAACAUUUACUAUGGAAGGAACAGAGCAAAAUAGAGGUGUAAAUUACAGGACUCUUGAGCAUUUGUUUAGAGUUAGUAAGGAAAGGAGUGAAACAUUUUCAUACGACAUAUCUGUUAGUGUGCUCGAGGUUUACAAUGAACAAAUCAGAGACCUAUUGGCUACGGGACCAGCAUCAAAAAGGUUGGAGAUAAAACAAAAUUAUGAAGGACAUCAUCAUGUACCUGGUGUUGUAGAAGCCAAGGUGGACAACAUAAGUGACGUGUGGACUGUACUGCAAGCUGGAAGCAAUGCUAGAGCAGUUGGAAGUAAUAAUGUUAAUGAACAUAGUAGUCGAUCUCAUUGCAUGCUAUGUAUAAUGGUAAAGACUAAAAAUUUGAUGAAUGGUGAGUGUACCAAGAGCAAGCUUUGGCUUGUGGAUUUGUCAGGCAGUGAGAGACUUGCAAAGACGGAUGUGCAAGGAGAGCGACUUAAGGAGGCACAAAAUAUUAAUCGUUCUCUUUCUGCUCUUGGAGAUGUGAUAUCCGCUUUAGCUGCCAAAAGUAGUCACAUUCCAUAUAGGAAUUCUAAGUUGACACAUUUACUCCAAGACUCACUAGGAGGUGACUCAAAAACUUUGAUGUUUGUACAAAUAAGUCCAUCAGACCAGGAUGUCGGUGAGACUCUGAGCUCACUUAAUUUUGCAACUAGAGUGAGGGGCGUUGAGUUAGAUCCUGUUAAGAAGCAAAUUGAUACAGGCGAACUUCAAAAGACAAAAGCAAUGCUUGACAAAGCACGAAGUGAGUGCAGAUGUAAAGAAGAAUCCUUGAGGAAAUUAGAAGAAAGUUUGCAAAACAUUGAGAGCAAGGCCAAGGGAAAGGAUAAUAUCCACAAAAAUCUACAAGAAAAGAUUAAAGAACUUGAAGGCCAGAUUAAGCUCAAAACAUCCAUGCAAAACCAAUCAGAGAAACAAGUUUCUCAAUUAUGUGAAAGGUUGAAGGGAAAAGAAGAAACCUGCUGUACUCUUCAACAUAAGACACAUGCUUAUACUGAAGGUCAAAGAGCUAGAGAGAAAAAUAAAAGAACAACUGCAGACAGAGACAGCAAAUUUCCAACAGAAGGUUUGGGAUCUAGAAAAGAAGCUGAAAGAUCAGUUGCAAGGGUCUGAGUCUGAAUCUUCCUUUCUAAAAGAUAAGAUCAAGGAGCUUGAGAGAAAACUGAAAGAGCAGGAGCAGAACUCGGAAUCCUUGCUAAAACAACAGCAUGUCAUAGCAGAUGAAGGAACUAGAGGAGAAACACAAGGAGCGAGAGCAACAGUGGCAGCAAACUCAUUGUUAUGUUGAAGCAGUAAAGGCGGCGGCCACACCUGAUAUAGGUAAAAGCCGCACAAGUGAAGAAUGUCCAAAUGAUAUUGAGAGUCGCAUGAAAUUUCGUCCCAAAUCCGUCCCAAAAUCGUAUGAAAUUUUUAUAACAUAUUCAAACAAGGAAUUUUCCCAUGAAUUUCGCACGAAUUUCCUUAAAAAAACAAAUCCGUCCCAAAACCGUGUGAAAUUUUGAGAUGGAUUUCGGACGGAAGGUUUUAAUUUUAUUUUUAAUUGUGAAAAUUCUAUAUCCCCUGUGUCCACAUCAAAAUUUCCCUCUGUGUGUUGCUUCCUCUCAUAACUAGAUUUACUCUUCCAUAACCCUAAAAUCAAUUUCACAAUCAAUUUCUCAAACUCUUCAAUCAAUUCCUUCCAAAAACUUGUACCAUUUCUCAAGCUCUUCAAGGAAUGAAUUGUUGCUUCAACGAGUCACGUGUGACUUAUUAUCUUGAACAAGAACCUCACCCAUCAUCCUCCAAAAGCUUGAACCACCUUUUCCAGAUUUGAACAAAGAUGAGUUCCCUUUCCGACUUUGUGUUUGGUGUAUCAACUUCAGCUUACCAAGUUUGUUCUUCUCUCUCUUUUUUCAAUUCCUAAUGUUAUGCUUUUGCAUUUUCUUUAUAUUCAUGUAUGAUUAUUCCCAAAUGAUAUAACACAUUGUAGUAGUAUUUUGACAUUAUGUUGCUCAUUAAGAUCAAACCAUAUAUAUUUUUAGAGUUAUAGCAUGUUCAUUUCAGACAAUUGAACCAAACAUAUAGAUUUUUUUCUCUCCAAAAAGUAGUUGUGGGAUUUUUCAUAAAAAAGCUGAUUUAGGUGCUUAGAAAUAAUAUGAUUAUAAUAAGUGUGUGGUCAAUGAAAAAGAAUGUUAAAUAAGUAAUCCUUAUUCUAAACAAACAUAUACUACUUUAUGCUUUAUGCAAAGAUGUUGCUAUUUUUAAUCUUAAACAAUCCAUUUGGUGAUUAUCCUUAUAUAAUGAAAAAGAAUGUUGGAUCAAGGCUUCCUUCCUUCACAGCAAAGGAAUCAAAUCUGAUCAAGAGCUCAAUUGACUUCUUAGGAAUAAACUUUUUACAGCUUAGUAUAUGUUAAGAACAAUCCUACAAGCCUGGACAUGGACGAUAGAGCCUGAACAAUCCUGCUAGUUCAGUUGAGUGUGUAUCUGUUUGUCUUGUGUUCGAGUACGUCAUCUUUUGAAGAAAGUAUUACUCAAAUUUAUGUUAAUUUACUUGAGUAUUGACUAGUGAACAAUUUAGUCAUGUUAUUUUGUGAUAUAUUGUGCCAGAACAUUGAGCACAUAUAUGAAUCUAGUUUGUAUAAUUUUGUUUUAGACAAUGAGUAUUUGUUUACUCUUGAA
This is an RNA transcript of Medicago truncatula (barrel medic), 4187 nucleotides long. It is a transcript of the gene named kinesin-like protein KIN-14R, with no coding region annotated. Lineage: Eukaryota; Viridiplantae; Streptophyta; Magnoliopsida; Fabales; Fabaceae. The record is from RefSeq and is a predicted model, not a curated record. The transcript has 21 exons.